UACGUAGGGGGCAAGCGUUGUCCGGAUUUAUUGGGCGUAAAGAGCGUGUAGGCGGCUAGAUAGGUCCGUUGUGAAAACUCGAGGCUCAACCUCGAGACGUCGAUGGAAACCAUCUGGCUAGAGUCCGGAAGAGGAGAGUGGAAUUCCUGGUGUAGCGGUGAAAUGCGCAGAUAUCGGGAGGAACAUCAGUGGCGAAAGCGACUUCCUGGACCAGUACCGACGUUCAGGCACGAAAGCGUGGGGAGCAAACAGG
Molecule: ribosomal RNA, 253 nt
Filed under: uncultured bacterium
Lineage: Bacteria
Description: partial 16S ribosomal RNA
Rfam family: Bacterial small subunit ribosomal RNA
Source: RNAcentral